GAGUUUGAUCCUGGCUCAGGACGAACGCUGGCGGCGUGCUUAACACAUGCAAGUCGAACGAAGCUUGAUUUAUGAUUUCUUCGGAAUGAAUAAUGAUAUGACUGAGUGGCGGACGGGUGAGUAACGCGUGAGCAACCUACCCUUCGGAGGGGGAUAGCGUCUGGAAACGGACGGUAAUACCGCAUAAAGUGUCUUGACCGCAUGAUCGAGAUACCAAAACUGAGGUGCCGAAGGAUGGGCUCGCGUUGGAUUAGAUAGUUGGUGGGGUAACGGCCUACCAAGUCGACGAUCCAUAGCCGGACUGAGAGGUUGAUCGGCCACAUUGGGACUGAGACACGGCCCAGACUCCUACGGGAGGCAGCAGUGGGGAAUAUUGCACAAUGGGGGAAACCCUGAUGCAGCAACGCCGCGUGAAGGAAGACGGUUUUCGGAUUGUAAACUUCUGUUCUUAGUGAAGAAUAAUGACGGUAGCUAAGGAGCAAGCCACGGCUAACUACGUGCCAGCCGCCGCGGUAAUAC
RNAcentral lists this ribosomal RNA (519 nucleotides) under uncultured bacterium. RNAcentral describes it as "bacterial SSU rRNA". It matches the Rfam family "Bacterial small subunit ribosomal RNA", at positions 9 to 526 of the family's 1533-position model. The record is from RNAcentral.